This 79-nucleotide transfer RNA is filed under the name Sporormia fimetaria CBS 119925. It matches the Rfam family "tRNA". From Rfam's summary of the family: Transfer RNA (tRNA) molecules are approximately 80 nucleotides in length. Their secondary structure includes four short double-helical elements and three loops (D, anti-codon, and T loops). Further hydrogen bonds mediate the characteristic L-shaped molecular structure. tRNAs have two regions of fundamental functional importance: the anti-codon, which is responsible for specific mRNA codon recognition, and the 3' end, to which the tRNAs corresponding amino acid is attached (by aminoacyl-tRNA synthetases). tRNAs cope with the degeneracy of the genetic code in two manners: having more than one tRNA (with a specific anti-codon) for a particular amino acid; and 'wobble' base-pairing, i.e. permitting non-standard base-pairing at the 3rd anti-codon position. The record is from Rfam by way of RNAcentral. Lineage: Eukaryota; Fungi; Ascomycota; Dothideomycetes; Pleosporales; Sporormiaceae.
GGUUGUAUAGUGUAGCGGUCAUCACAUCGGAUUCUGAAUGAAGAUUCCGGGAACCCCGGUUCGAUUCCGGGUACGACCU